UGAACCUUGAAGACAUGCCAGUUACAAAAAGAUGCCAGGAUGCAUGUCCACAGAGGGAAGCCUGUGAGAGGACACGAUGAGAGGGUGACCAUCUGCCAAGAAGAGAGGCUUCAUGAGAAACCAAACUUGCCAACAACUUGAUCCUGCGCUUCUAGCCUCCAAAAGUGUCAGAAAAUAAAUUUCUGUUGUUUAAGUCUGCAGUCCUUUGUUACAGCAGCCCCAGCAAACUAAUGCUAUGGAUUUGGAGUUUGUCGGAUGAGAAGAGUAGUGGGGUCUGGUUGCACAUCAGUGUGAAUCUACUUAAAACUACUGAACUGCACACUUAAAACUGGUUAAGGUGGUAAAUUUUAUACCACGUGUAUUUUACCAGAAUUAAAAAAAAACAUA
Long non-coding RNA from Herpailurus yagouaroundi (jaguarundi), 387 nucleotides. RefSeq lists it as uncharacterized. The record is from RefSeq and is a predicted model, not a curated record. The transcript has 2 exons. NCBI's taxonomy places the organism in Eukaryota, Metazoa, Chordata, Mammalia, Carnivora, Felidae.